CAAAUUUUGUUAAAAAAAAUUAUAUUGCAAAUUUCCAUUCCAUUCAAUGAUUAAGGGGUGAAAAAUUAACAAAACAGAAGGAAACUUUGUUUAGGAUUGGUCCAUUCCAUUCCAACACGAAACAAACAUUCCAUUCCAUUCCUUCUCAAUUUCAUCAUUAAAAAUAAUAAAAAAAAAAAAAAAAAAAAAAAAAAAAAAAAAAAAAAACCUACCGAAACUAAGUUGGAAUCGGAUUACACCGAUAGUAAGUCGGGUCCCUCAUUGAUCCAUUGUUAUCGGUUAUGUCCAAUUUUCCUCUUAAACAACAUUCAACUCCCUUUUCCGUUCCAAGAACCAUCUCGUUCCAUAGCUUGAGGUUUUCAUCGACACUUUGAUUCUAUUUUCUUCUCUCGCUCGUAUCUCAUCUGUUCUUUUGGGGUGUCGUCGACGUAUGCUUUCCCUUCUUUAAUCAACUUCUCAGCCAUUUCCAUGAGAUUCGGAAAGUAAUCGGAAGAUUUGUGUCAUCAAACCUUAGGAUUACUUUCCCGUUGUAUUUCUGAGCAAAAUAUUGGUUCAAUAAAGCGGCUUUCGCAUGGCCUAUGUGGAGAUAGCCACUUGGUUCAGGUGCAAAUCUCAACAAAACUUUUCCCAUUUCAGCAUAUGGAAGAUCCACUUCAGGGCGAUUGGAAUUAACAAGCUCCAUCAUUACCUUGUUCACCGAGAUAAAAGAAAACAGAAGAACAGGAGUGUAGAAGAAGGGACGAACACAGGGGAAUAACAGAAAACAGAGGAGAGAAAAAAAAUUACUGCGAAAUCUUAUUAAAACUUGAUUCGAUCAAUGAAUUAAAAAGACAACGAUUACAUCU
This is a long non-coding RNA of Lactuca sativa (garden lettuce), 845 nucleotides long. RefSeq lists it as uncharacterized. The record is from RefSeq and is a predicted model, not a curated record. NCBI's taxonomy places the organism in Eukaryota, Viridiplantae, Streptophyta, Magnoliopsida, Asterales, Asteraceae.